CGGGAGGUCAUCCUCUGGGACGUCGAUGUUUGAACCCGGCCAUGCAGUCUCGUCUCCUGAGAGCCAGGAUUCUCUCGUCCAGCGACGUGUCUCCAUUGAGCGUCUGGAAGCAGGGUCUGGAUCUGAGAUACUCGGUUGGCGACGAAGGUUUUCCAACGGGUGCUGUGUCCGCGGAUCCAAUGAAGUGUGACCCUUGAAUCUGACCACAGAUGCACCGGCGUCGUUGUCAAACCGAGAGUAGCGCGCACGUGGAGCAUGAGCGUGCGUUGCGGAUGUACACCACGGCGGCGUAUCCUCGCUCU
This is a non-coding RNA of Nylanderia fulva, 302 nucleotides long. The record is from RefSeq and is a predicted model, not a curated record. Lineage: Eukaryota; Metazoa; Arthropoda; Insecta; Hymenoptera; Formicidae.